AAGUUUUAUACCUUUAUUAAAAAUAAACUCCAAGGUUCAUUUGCAAAUCGCCAACUCUUUUUAUGCCUACAUCCAAACCAGAACCAUUUGUGAGAAUCUUAAAACUUCGCUGGAUAACAAAUCUGUGUCAUCUGCGCUGUUCUAAUCCAACUGCAGUGACCUGUUUACAAUUCAGACCCAAACUGUCCAAGCUUAGGAACACUGGAAAGGCAUUUGCUUAGAGGUAGGAUUUGGCUGCACUGAAAAUGAAACUCACUACGGCAAAAAGAAAGUGUUGAUCAUUUCAAAUAAGAAAAUCCAGGGUUAGAUGCUGUCUCUGAAGACGACUGGAAUUCUGCCUGCCUUUUGUAGGUGCUGAAUUUCAUUCCCAGUCUCCGCAUAGAAGUGGAAGCUGAAGUUACGGAGUGGGAUUUUGACUGCACGCAGAGUAGCCCAAAACAGCACGGAAUUCUGCUUGCUCUAAAGCAGUCACAUUUUCAGAGACUCCUGUUUUCUCCUGUGGUUUCCCAGCUGAGAGGUAGCAAAUGCUAGAUUUUUUUUGUUUCCAAGAGAAGGAGUACUUAAAUUCCCAAAGGAAUGCUACUAAGCUGAUCCCAGAGCAUUUACUGUCUGGCUGAGGCAGUUUCCACCCCUGCACCACAUCAUGAGCUACGAAAGGUUUGCCUGGUAUCAUAGGAGAAGCUGGACAGAUGCCAAACCCAAUCCGUUCAGAGAAGCUGAGAUUCCAGUCUCACGUUGGUAGCGGUUACUGCUCUCAGGCAAUAGGGCUCGAUGAAAUACACAGUACAGUCUUGAAAGAAAAAUACUAAAUCUGUCUAAAUUACCAAUCAGGCAAAGAAGCUGGUAAGAUAUCUCCAUCACCGGAGCGCCCUUUGAAUGCAGACGUGAAGUGCAGAUGAAUUUGUGUCCACAGAGGAAUACCAGUGCCUACCCUGAGCUCAGGAGCAGUCAGCAGGGACAGACUGGCACAUAUGGUGUCCCAGCUGGAUGUGAGCGGGCAGCAGGAGGCCGUCAGACUUCCACACCCAGCAGUAUGCCUCAUCCUGCAGGUUUAGGUCACCCCCUGUGACCCAUCUGAUCCUUGAUUUCCCUGGUACGGGGCAGGGGAGGCACAAAGAGUUCUGUGAUGUGGUUUUCUGCCCAGACCACCAAACUCCAUACACAAGAAACUACUGUUAGGGCAAACCUGGGAACACAGUCACCAGGGUCGGACCCCUGACUGCCGCUGAACUGGGUAGACUGGACAAAGUGACCGAGAGGGGAAAGAAAAUGUGUUUCUAUUCUCUCUCCCCAGCCAGCCCUUCCUCUUAACUCUUAUGCCUGCAGAUGUUUUCUUGUGUUAAAUACAUACCUGCUAAGGAAACGGACCCCACGAAAGGAUAAUAAAUGAGCUCAAUACAUACUGCCAUUUCAUGGGUUUCUGCUAUGAGCUGCCAUAAAUUUAAAGCCAAUUAUGUCCUGUUUAAAUAUUUAACACUGUAAAGCUAGCCCAUUUUACAUCCUGUCAAAGAUAAUUGAAACACCCAAUUUAUUCCUUUAAUAGGCAGGCAGAGCAUCCACCAGGUGGAAAAUACCGUCAGGAUUUCACUGUUUGCAAGGGGAUAAUGGAAAUAUCCCCAUUCCUCAGACCGUAGCAAGAUGCUCUUUGACACUGGAAGCUUGAGCUGACAUGCGUGCUGCUGGCUGCUAGGUAGCAGCUAGCUUUUAUUUGCACAGCUGCAACACUAGAGGACCCCACAGAGCACAUUUUGCAUGCAGGUGCAACAGCAAUUUCAGUUGCAUCCCGAAGCUCUGCAAAGCAGCAGCCAUUGAGGCACUCCUUGGAGGUGAUGAAAUCCAGUGGCUGUGACUAAGCUUUGUAAAUAUUAUUAAGCUAUUAAAUCCAGGGGCUGUGCCACGAGGCAACAGCGAGGUAUGGAAGAUGGCCCUGAGCUGAUAACACCAGGAGAAAUAUUUCAGUCAAUCCCCGAGGUGCUGGGCUGGGAGCUUUGCUCUAAAGCAUCCAAGCUGCUGACCACUGGAGCAACGACUGUAGGCGCCGUGUUCACGUCCAUGUCACCGCUUCCCUGAGGACUGCUUUCCUGAGAUGCUCCUUGUGUCACCAGCUGAGGCUGUGAGGAGAGAUACACCAGAAUGAAAACACCCACGUGGCAUCAGUGCCAGGAGACAAAAUUGCAAAUGCACGAGGUAGAUGCAAAGCACGGUGCUUUUAAUCAAUGCUAUUUACACCAGGCUGUGCAGUGCUGCAGGUGUGCCCACUUGCCAUCCCUUCCUAUAGCCUAAUGGUUGGCAACCCUGCACGCAGCAGGGGGGUUGAAACUAGUUGAUCAUUAUGGUCUCUUUCUACCCACGUCAUUCUGUGAUUCUAUGAUUCCAAUGCACACGAG
Molecule: long non-coding RNA, 2387 nt
Organism: Gallus gallus (chicken)
Lineage: Eukaryota; Metazoa; Chordata; Aves; Galliformes; Phasianidae
Source: Ensembl